RNAcentral lists this ribosomal RNA (457 nucleotides) under uncultured bacterium. RNAcentral describes it as "bacterial SSU rRNA". It matches the Rfam family "Bacterial small subunit ribosomal RNA", at positions 349 to 793 of the family's 1533-position model. The record is from RNAcentral.
CAGCAGUGGGGAAUAUUGCUACAAUGGGCGCUAAGCCUUGAUGCAGUCCAUGCCGCGUGUAUGAAGUAAGGCCUUCGGGUUGUAAAGUACUUUCAGCAGUGAGGAAGGUGGGUAUGUUAAUAGCAUAUCAUUUUGACGUUAGCUGCAGAAGAAGCACCGGCUAACUCCGUGCCAGCAGCCGCGGUAAUACGGAGGGUGCGAGCGUUAAUCGGAAUUACUGGGCGUAAAGCGCAUGCAGGUGGUUUGUUAAGUCAGAUGUGAAAGCCCGGGGCUCAACCUCGGAAUUGCAUUUGAAACUGGCAAACUAGAGUACUGUAGAGGGGGUAGAAUUUCAGGUGUAGCGGUGAAAUGCGUAGAGAUCUGAAGGAAUACCGGUGGCGAAGGCGGCCCCCUGGACAGAUACUGACACUCAGAUGCGAAAGCGUGGGGAGCAAACAGGAUUAGAUACCCCUGGUAG